Molecule: long non-coding RNA, 1110 nt
Filed under: Microcebus murinus (gray mouse lemur)
Lineage: Eukaryota; Metazoa; Chordata; Mammalia; Primates; Cheirogaleidae
Description: lncRNA (ENSMICG00000048326.1)
Source: RNAcentral
AUGUCCCCCUUGCUUGGGGACUGGGGCGAAGGAAAAUCGCGACGCAGCUUAGCCAAAAGGUCACAGGCAAAGCCAUGGCUCCAACGACAGGGACGGGGGACUUGUCCCCAAGACUGGGGUGGCGCAAAUCAUAAGGUCUCCCCUUUCCACUCUGGCCUCCCUUUUCGGCCUCCACUCCCCCCGGUUGCUUCGUGCGUGCGUGUGUUCUGGAUUUUUUUUUUGGGGGGGGGAGGAAUGACAGAGAGUGGGGUCCCAAGACGUGUCGUCCUGGGGAAAUGGCAGAGACUGGGGACCCAAAACGGGUGUCGCCUGGCGUGUCCCGACGCCAGGCUGCCUCUGGUUCUGCUUCUGGCCUCCACAGGGUCUUCUCAUCAAGCCUCCCUCCUCGGCGACCCUGCCACUGCGACCUCCACCCCCUCCGAAAAGCCAUCGAUCCCUCUCGACACCCGGCCGCCACCGUGGAACCCAGAGACGCGCGACAAGUUGAGAGGUGAGGACGGCCACACCCCAAGCAAAGGGGGCCUGAGCGCCGAGCCUUUUCCCCUCUCCUUCUCUGUCUCGUUGUGAGUUCGAGGCUGGCCACCGCGCAAUGAAAGAUUCCAAACGGCCCGGGUUUGAUUGAACACGGAUCCGGGCGCUGUUGUCCGCGUCUACGCGGGGAACCGAGAGGCUGCAGCCUCCCCAUUCUUAUGGAAAUGCCACUAAACGGAUUGUGACUCGAGUUUGGGGGCCGCUGGGGGAUGCAAGGGGGGAAACUUCGCGCGACCUGGCGCAGUCUGCAACCCCGACAACCGCACGCCCCCACCCUCCAGCCUCCGGGGACAAAGGGGCGAGCGCGAGUGGAGGCCGUGCAGGCGGCGGGGACGAGGCCGGGUUAAGCCUCGCAAAGCCGGCGCACGGGACCGGCCGGCAGGUGCAGCGGCUCGGAGGAGGCCCGGCUGGGGACACAGCUCGGCGCUCGGAUAAAAACGCUGGUCGUUGGAUAAAAACGCUGGCCGUUGGAAAAAAACGCUCCUCGUUGGAUAAAAACGCCCGUCGUUGGAGAAAAACGCUGAGCGUCUGAUUGUUUAUCAACUAACNNNNNNNNNNNNNNNNNNNNNNNNNUGGUUG